CAAUAGCGUAUAUUAAAGUUGUUGCAGUUAAAAAGCUCGUAGUUGGAUUUCUGGUUGAAGCGACCGGUCGGGCGUUGAUUCGUCUGCACUGGAGUCGGUUUUGGCCAUCCUCUAGGAAAGUGCGUCUGGUAUUAAGUUAUCGGGCGUAUGAUCCUGGUCUUUUACUGUGAAAAAAUUAGAGUGUUUAAAGCAGGCCUUCGCCUUGAAUACAUUAGCAUGGAAUAAUAAGAUAGGACUUUGGUCUAUUUUGUUGGUUUGCAGACCGAAGUAAUGAUUAAUAGGGAUAGUUGGGGGUAUUUAUAUUCCGAUGUCAGAGGUGAAAUUCUUAGAUUUUCGUAAGAUAAACUUAUGCGAAAGCAUUUACCAAGGAUGUUUNCAUUAA
RNAcentral lists this ribosomal RNA (382 nucleotides) under uncultured eukaryote. RNAcentral's name for it is "partial 18S ribosomal RNA". It matches the Rfam family "Eukaryotic small subunit ribosomal RNA", at positions 592 to 976 of the family's 1831-position model. The record is from RNAcentral.